UAUAUCUUGGUGUAUGGCGCACAAUAGCUUUUGAUGUUAGGGGUGAUAGUUUGAUUCUGUUAGAUAUAA
Molecule: transfer RNA, 69 nt
Filed under: Asagarotermes coronatus
Lineage: Eukaryota; Metazoa; Arthropoda; Insecta; Blattodea; Termitidae
Description: tRNA-Gln
Rfam family: tRNA
About the family: Transfer RNA (tRNA) molecules are approximately 80 nucleotides in length. Their secondary structure includes four short double-helical elements and three loops (D, anti-codon, and T loops).
Source: RNAcentral